RNAcentral lists this ribosomal RNA (253 nucleotides) under uncultured bacterium. Its description in RNAcentral is "partial 16S ribosomal RNA". It matches the Rfam family "Bacterial small subunit ribosomal RNA", at positions 524 to 776 of the family's 1533-position model. The record is from RNAcentral.
UACGUAGGUGGCAAGCGUUGUCCGGAGUUAUUGGGCGUAAAGGGCGCGUAGGCGGCCAUGCGUGUCUUCCGUGAAAUCCCUCGGCUUAACUGAGGACGUGCGGAAGAAACUGCAAGGCUCGAGUCCGGGAGAGGAGGGUGGAAUUCCCAGUGUAGCGGUGAAAUGCGUAGAUAUUGGGAGGAACACCGGUGGCGAAGGCGGCCCUCUGGACCGGUACUGACGCUGAUGCGCGAAAGCGUGGGUAGCAAACGGG